This is a non-coding RNA of Triticum aestivum (bread wheat), 115 nucleotides long. NCBI's taxonomy places the organism in Eukaryota, Viridiplantae, Streptophyta, Magnoliopsida, Poales, Poaceae. The record is from Rfam.
GUAGUACUCCCUCUGUUCGGAAUUACUCGUCCAAGAAAUGAACGUAUGUAGAUGUAUUUUAAUCGUAGAUACAUCCAUUUUUGUGACAAGUAAUUCCGAACAGAGGGAGUAAUUU